GUUAACUGAAAAGACUAAAGUGAAAAAUUUAGAUUUUCAUUUCCCUCUCAAAUUUUCAGAUUUCAUUCCAAGAAAAUGGAGGCAAAUUCAAACUUCUUUUUGCUCCAAAUACAUCAAUAAAUAGAGCAUCAUUUAAGGCUCAAAUUUGCAUGUACAUCAAAAGUACCACUACACAAAUAAAGAGAGCAAAAUGGCAGAGAAAANGAAAAAAAAAGCAAACAUGUAUGAAAUUCAAAGGAACAACAUAGCACAGUGGCUGCUUCAAAACAGUAAGGAAAGCAAGCUUCGGUACGGUGCGAAGAAGAAGGAACAACAUUGACGUGAGGACUGUUUGGCGCAUUUGGACAGCAACACGUGCACAAAAAUCCAUGGGGCAGCCCUGUACAACUCAUGUCAAUAAAAAAAUGAUCAAACAAAGCGAUAAAAAAGUACUUGAUAUAGAUAAAGUGAAGCAAUUAUAUGUUCUAGAAAGGUCAACAAUAAGGAAAAUAGCGAGCAAGCUUGAAGUGAGUAAAAGCUUGCUUAGAGUGUGGAUAAAGGAAACAAAAAGUGAGAGCACAUACCAAUGCAAUUAAACAUGCCCGAACACUUCAAAUCAUUUAAGUAGACUCACUUGGAGCCUUAGUCAAUUAAGUGCAAUUAAUGCAAAUGGAAAAAUCAAAUUUCAGCCUAUGUAUAACACAAUACACAUAGAUGAAAAAUGGUUUUAUUUAACCAAAACCUCAGAUAGGUACUACCUCUUGCCAGAUGAGAUAGACCCUUAUAGAGCAUACAAAUCUAAAAGAUUCAUUACAAAAAUCAUGUUCAUGUGUGCGGUUUCAAGACCAACAAAUUGACCAUGUAAAAUCAUCUUUGAUGGCAAGUUUGAUAUAUUCCCAUUCACAACAGUUGAGCCAACUAUAAGGAAUAGCAAAAACAAGUUGAAAGGCACUAUGGAAACAAUGCUAAUUCUAGCAAUCACAAAAGAAGUCAUCAGAAUUGCAUAAUCAACCAAGUGAUCUUAGUAGUAGCUGAUCAGGACAAUGUGAAGCCCAUCAAGAAUUCAGACCCUGAUUUCAUAGUAGCUGUCACAUCAGAUGGAUUUAAUAUCCAACUGAUUUGCUGACCACCGAACUCGCCGGAUACCAAUGUGAAUUAUCUAGGAUUUUUCAGAGCAAUUCAGGCACUUCAAGAUGAUAAGUUGGCUAAUGGUGUAGAAGAUUUGCUUGAUCUAGUGAAGUUAAACUAUGUUUCCUUACACUACAUGGAGAAAUCAUCAAAUGCAGGGGCAACAACAACUACAAAAUUCCACACAUCAAUAAGGAUAGACUCUCAAGGCUUGGGAUUCUUCCAGAAUGUUUGGAGGUGGAAGAGCAACUUGUAAGAUAAUGCUUAGAUGAACUAAGGCAACAACAAAUUGAACAAGGACAAUCUACAACAAUGAUCCACUAGUGGACGGACUACAACAAGUCAUUUUAAUGGAUUAGUUGGUGUUUUACUCUUUAUUUUUGGGCUAAAUGUUUACAAACAUAAACACUGCCAGAAAUCAUCAUUUUGAGUUGUUUGUAAUGUAAACUUAUUGCCUCAACUAUAUGAAUUUAUAUUAUGCAUCAUUAACAUAAGGACUUAAUCUUAGUUCAACCUCCUUAACUAGGGAAUACCUAGUGGUGACACGGACAUGAGAUUAUUUACCCUCAGACACUAAAAGUUCAGUUGUCAUCACAGGGUAAUAUACCAAGCAGACCAAGGCAGAGGACCAACCCACCAAACUCAACAAACAUAGAUGUAUGUUCACCCAAGAAUUCAGAGAUGCAAAUCACAAUAAAUUUAGCAUCACCAGCCUAUAUAACAUAACCACAGUUUCAAACUCGAAGAUCACAGUAAAUAUGGCAUUACUGGCCCACCAAUCACAACCAACAUAAGAGUAUUUACCCUCAGACACUGAAAGUUCAAUUGUCAUCACACAGUGAUACACCAAACAUAGAUGCAUGCUCACCCAACAAUUCAGAGAUGCAAAUCACAAUAAAUUUGGCAUCAUCAGCCCAAAUAACACUACCACAAUUUCAGGAUCGAAGAUCACAUCAAAUAUGGCAUCACCAACCCACCAAACACAACCAACAUAAGUGUAUUUACCCUCAUAUACUAAAAGUUCAGUUGUCAUCACAAGGUUAUACACCAAAUAAAUCAAGACACAUGACAAAACACAGCAACAUGUUCUUCCAACAUAAUAAAUAAGGCAUCAUCAUCCACCACCAGUAGAAAUUCAAAAUUAGGAACACAAUCACCUGAUUAAAUUAGGGCCAAGGCACCCGGGCACCAAAUGCCAAGUAAUUGCAGGUACUGAAUCCUCAUCUCGUCACUCCAGACAUUCUAAUUGUCCGAUCGACCUUCUUAAUCUUCGAUGAAGCCAUCCACGACCAGAUCUAUAGGUGCUUCAGGUACCACCGUAUCCGGCUCGAAAGCCCACGACCACAUUGAAAGGGACUCUGUGUGGGUCGCCGUCAACGAUAGCAGAACAUUGGAGAUGAUUCAGUCAGAGGCAUCGUGUCACCGAAAGGCUGACCGAGCAUCCAAUGAGAAAUCGGGGAGUCAAGAAAAGAUUCCACCAAAGGCGUUUAUGACACCACAGUGUCCGACUCCGUGGGGAUCAUCGUUAACGGUGGCAAAAAUGGUGAUUUGAUAAGAGAAUCACUGAUUUCAGAGAGAGAAGUAGGAGAGAGGGUGAGAUUCAUCGAAGAGGGAGGCAGAGCCUUAAGGUGAAGAACAAAGGAGCGAGGCACCGAGUUUGAGGGAGGCAAUGUGGACUAGAAACACGAAGGAGAUAGGCGAUUUUCUAUCCUCAAUUUAGGGUUUUAGAUGGAUGAUGCAGUUUAGGAUUGAUUAGGAUUAAAAUUAUCUUGAGAAAUUAGUGUGGAUUUAUAUUAUUUCAUGGGUGUUUGAUAUCAUGGCUACUUAAUCCUAUAUUAUGUUUGAUAUCCAUAGGAUUAUGUUGGAUUAUAUUAUUUAAUACCAAAACUAUCCUCACAUAAUUUUAAAAAUAUCAUGUGUGUCCACCAUUACUUGGGCAUUUGCAUCGAUAUGCGUGAGGAAGGGUAGCAUAAUUUUUAUCCAACUUCUCAGUAUUAAAUUUAUCCGAGGGGGUGGGCGGAUUAUUAGUAUGGGUUAAUCCCACAAAAUAGCAUGGAGAAGUAGGAUUAAGUAGGAGUUGACCAUAUUAACUGCACAUGAUAUCAAACAUCACACUAAUCUGUAUUAAUUUAAUUUAUUCUACCUAUAAACCCAUAUCAAACAGGCCCUUAGGGUUUUAGAUGGAUGAAGAAGGAAGGAAAGACGAUUUUCUACCAUCAAUUUAGGGUUUCAUACGGAUGAACAAUGAAGAAGGAGAGAGGCGGCGCACCUUUAGAGAAAUCUAGAAAGUAGGGUUUGAGUGAGAGAUGAUAUUGAGUGAGAAUUCUAGAUAGAAGUGAACCAGAAA
RNAcentral lists this long non-coding RNA (3454 nucleotides) under Salvia miltiorrhiza (redroot sage). RNAcentral's name for it is "long non-coding RNA (SMIL_LNC004665)". The record is from RNAcentral. Lineage: Eukaryota; Viridiplantae; Streptophyta; Magnoliopsida; Lamiales; Lamiaceae.